This 429-nucleotide ribosomal RNA is filed under the name uncultured bacterium. Its description in RNAcentral is "bacterial SSU rRNA". It matches the Rfam family "Bacterial small subunit ribosomal RNA", at positions 355 to 776 of the family's 1533-position model. The record is from RNAcentral.
UGGGGAAUUUUGGACAAUGGGCGAAAGCCUGAUCCAGCCAUUCCGCGUGCAGGAUGAAGGCCCUCGGGUUGUAAACUGCUUUUGUACGGAACGAAAAGCCUUCUUCUAAUACAAGAGGGUCAUGACGGUACCGUAAGAAUAAGCACCGGCUAACUACGUGCCAGCAGCCGCGGUAAUACGUAGGGUGCAAGCGUUAAUCGGAAUUACUGGGCGUAAAGCGUGCGCAGGCGGUUAUGUAAGACAGUUGUGAAAUCCCCGGGCUCAACCUGGGAACUGCAUCUGUGACUGCAUAGCUAGAGUACGGUAGAGGGGGAUGGAAUUCCGCGUGUAGCAGUGAAAUGCGUAGAUAUGCGGAGGAACACCGAUGGCGAAGGCAAUCCCCUGGACCUGUACUGACGCUCAUGCACGAAAGCGUGGGGAGCAAACAGG